This 253-nucleotide ribosomal RNA is filed under the name uncultured bacterium. RNAcentral's name for it is "partial 16S ribosomal RNA". It matches the Rfam family "Bacterial small subunit ribosomal RNA", at positions 524 to 776 of the family's 1533-position model. The record is from RNAcentral.
UACGGAGGGCGCAAGCGUUGUUCGGAAUCACUGGGCGUAAAGCGCGUGCAGGCGGCUUGGUAAGUCGGAUGUGAAAUCCCGGAGCUCAACUCCGGAACUGCAUCCGAUACUGCCUCGCUAGAGUCCCGGAGAGGAUGGCGGAAUUUCCGGUGUAGAGGUGAAAUUCGUAGAUAUCGGAAGGAACACCAGCGGCGAAGGCGGCCAUCUGGACGGUGACCGACGCUCAGACGCGAAAGCGCGGGGAGCAAACAGG